Molecule: long non-coding RNA, 349 nt
Organism: Xenia sp. Carnegie-2017
Lineage: Eukaryota; Metazoa; Cnidaria; Anthozoa; Malacalcyonacea; Xeniidae
Exons: 3
Source: RefSeq, a predicted model, not a curated record
AUUGAUGUAACAAUAAGGUAUGUGACAUGUAAAGAACUAAAGCAAGCUUAAUUUUGUCUACACGGUCGUCAUAUAUAAAGUCUUACUUCUACAACAAAGUCAUGUUGAUAUAUCAUGUUGAAUUUUUGUACAAAUGGAAUCAAGAGGAACAAGAAAUCUGUCUUACAUUCAGCAAAUAAUCAUUGUGGUACAAACGGAACUUGCUCAAUUUUUCAUCAAAGAAUGGAACUCUCGUUACAAAUCAACACAUGGAGAAUGGGAUGAUACCAAAAAUAGUGGCAAAAAAUUUUGCACUUUAGAAUCGGGUAGAAAGUUUGAUAAAAAACUAAAGUUAAAAUAUCAGGAUGGA